AUUGAACGCUGGCGGCAUGCCUUACACAUGCAAGUCGAACGGCAGCACGGGAGCAAUCCUGGUGGCGAGUGGCGAACGGGUGAGUAAAGUAUCGGAACGUGCCCAGUCGUGGGGGAUAACGUAGCGAAAGUUACGCUAAUACCGCAUACGAUCUAUGGAUGAAAGCGGGGGAUCGCAAGACCUCGCGCGAUUGGAGCGGCCGAUAUCAGAUUAGGUAGUUGGUGGGGUAAAGGCUCACCAAGCCGACGAUCUGUAGCUGGUCUGAGAGGACGACCAGCCAGCCUGGGACUGAGACACGGCCCAGACUCCUACGGGAGGCAGCAGUGGGGAAUUUUGGACAAUGGGCGAAAGCCUGAUCCAGCCAUGCCGCGUGCAGGAUGAAGGCCUUCGGGUUGUAAACUGCUUUUGUACGGAACGAAAAGGUUUGGCCUAAUAAGCUGAGCUCAUGACGGUACCGUAAGAAUAAGCACCGGCUAACUACGUGCCAGCCGCCGCAGUAA
Molecule: ribosomal RNA, 500 nt
Filed under: uncultured bacterium
Lineage: Bacteria
Description: partial 16S ribosomal RNA
Rfam family: Bacterial small subunit ribosomal RNA
Source: RNAcentral